GUAAGUAAAAGGUAGUCCCUGCCCAGUGCAACUAGAGUAAUGUCUGUUGUAAACGGCGGCGUUAACGUGAGCGUCCUAAGGUAGCGCGAUAAUUUGUUUUUCAAUUGAAGGAUGGUAUGAAAGGGUUAACGAAGAAGGUGCUGUGUCUAAAAAUUCAAUUUAAACUAACUUUAAGGUGAAGAGGCCUUUAUGUAAAGGAAGGACGACAAGACCCUAUGAAGCUUUAUCUUAAUUGGAGCUCUCAGGCUCUUAUACGAUUUUGAUGGGAGAUCAGUAGAAAUAAGUCUUCUACUAUCAUAUUAAUCUUACUAGUAUUUCCUAACUUUAUAUGUGUGGCUAGCUACUCUAGGGAUAACAGCGCAAUUUCUCCCGAAAGAUGGUAUUGGAGGGGAAGAUUGCGACCUCGAUGUUGGCUUUAGAUAUCCUAGAGGCGUAGAAGCUUCU
RNAcentral lists this ribosomal RNA (444 nucleotides) under Mytilus trossulus (common blue mussel). Its description in RNAcentral is "partial 16S ribosomal RNA". It matches the Rfam family "Bacterial large subunit ribosomal RNA", at positions 1839 to 2566 of the family's 2925-position model. The record is from RNAcentral. Lineage: Eukaryota; Metazoa; Mollusca; Bivalvia; Mytilida; Mytilidae.